GAUCCUUUCAAGAUGAACUUGCCAAGAUCUGUAAUUCCUUGCUAGCAUCUGUUUAGAAAUAACAGUGUUUCCAAAAUUUGGUAGAGAAGAUGCAAGUUUGGAAACAUGAGCUUCUUGUGUGUCGGAGGUUGAAGGUUGUUCAGCUUUCAAUUUCUUUUCAGCCUGGACUCGGAUAAAGACAUUACCAAUGAUGUGGUCAGGAUGGUUAGAUGAUGUCAUUCGGGUUAUAUUGUUAAUACUAUUAAAUACUCUUUCCUGUUCUUCUGUGUUUGUAGAUCGGCCGCUUAUUAAUCUGUUCUGGAUUGGUGCAUGUGCUGUAAUGUUGUGGAAGUAGUUACCAUAAAACUUCCGAGUUGACAUUUGCUUCAGGGAAAAUCCGAUAACUGACCUGCACAACAUUGCAUGAUGAAAGAUUGAUCUGGCAUUCAACUCCCUGAUCAAGUUGGGUUUUGUUAAUCCAUGGAAAGGUUUAUUUGACUUUGCCAAAGAAUUUGCUGCACCGCAUGGGCCUUUAAACACCAACUGCUGUCGAUCCUCCAAUGAUACGUGUGGGCAACGAAACACAUAAUCAAGUUCAUACACCCGAUGAGCAUUGGCACCACAGAUGGCACAGUAGAAAUUCCCACCCUUCUGUUGGCCAGCUUCAUAUUGACGAGAAGGACUGUCACCAUGGAAGAACCUCAUCUUGUCUGAAACAGGAUGAUGACCUUGCAACGAUGUACAGACUUGGUGCUUCAACCAAUGACUGGAUGUUGACCUUUUUUCCAGUGAUGGCUUCGUAUUCACUGUUGGUAUAGAAUGUGGCUUGGUCAUACAAGCAGGUUGCCAUAAAGACAAGGUGGGAAUGGUUUGCAACUGUAGAUAGGUCAUGCCAUACGAGUAGAUGCCGUGUUCUUUCCAUUACCUUCAGCCGCUCUCUCAUAUCUGUUUCAUCCUCACCCUCUUUUCUCUCAUUUAGCAUUGUCAACCUGUUCUCAACUUCUGUCACACUCAUGCUAUUCACAUCUUUUUCAUCAUUAAUCCGCAUAAAUUUCUCCAACUCAUGUAGCUUUCUUCUCCUGAUCUCAACCAG
Long non-coding RNA from Dendronephthya gigantea, 1072 nucleotides. RefSeq lists it as uncharacterized. The transcript is spliced from 3 exons. NCBI's taxonomy places the organism in Eukaryota, Metazoa, Cnidaria, Anthozoa, Malacalcyonacea, Nephtheidae. The record is from RefSeq and is a predicted model, not a curated record.